This is a small nuclear RNA of Budorcas taxicolor (takin), 105 nucleotides long. Lineage: Eukaryota; Metazoa; Chordata; Mammalia; Artiodactyla; Bovidae. The record is from RefSeq and is a predicted model, not a curated record.
GUAGUAUAUGGCAGCACAUCUACUAAAAUUGGAACGAUACAGAGAAGAUUAGCAUGGCCCCUGCACAAGGAUAACAUGCAAACUCGUGAAGUGUUCCAUAUUUUU